Molecule: RNA transcript, 4567 nt
Organism: Wyeomyia smithii (pitcher-plant mosquito)
Lineage: Eukaryota; Metazoa; Arthropoda; Insecta; Diptera; Culicidae
Exons: 4
Source: RefSeq, a predicted model, not a curated record
UUUUAGUUUUUGUCGUUUUGAUCGAAGUAAAAUGGAACGUUUUCUUUUAACAAAAUUCGAGAAAUAGCGGAAAACUUUUAUUAAUAAUGCGUUCCGUAGUGAAAUUUUGGGACAUCAACAAGUUUUUAACGAAAAUUGGUGAUGGAUUAUCGUCACAUUGGUAAUUUAUCAAACGUCAUGGACCAACAAGCUUCAUGGACCAGAGUAGAUCUGCGAUAACGCACACAUAUAUGAAAUUUUACACCGGUAAAUCCCCCCUGGGUGUAAUGCCUUGUUCAGACUACGCCGCAUAUCAUCUGAUAUCGCCAGAUAUCGGAUAUCACUUCGGGUGUUUACUUUACAGAGAGGUGAUAUUAUUUGCUUUGGUAAUAAAAAAGAGCAAAGAAAAGCAAAGUUUUUGGUGCUACAUUUCGUAUCGGAAUUUGACCCUCUGUUACCGACUCCGCAGCCGACUGUUGAGCGUACAGGACAAUUGCGGAGCUAGCGCUACAAUCCUACUGACACCAAUAGCACAUAUAUAAGACAUACGUAACAGUCAGGAAGAAAUCUUUCGAAAAAGUUGGUACAAAAUGAACUCCUCGAAUGGCACCAUAUUCUGAAUAAAAUCACUGGUUGAGUAGUUUCUGAAGGCGGUGUACCUGCGCAGCCCUGCAUUUGUCUAGUUUCCACUCGAAAAAUGCUGCAUUGAUUUUGUAGAGAACUUUUUGACAGUUCCUUAUGGGAUUUUCUUUGGGGCUCGAUGAUGCCGAGAAAAAGAAGAUUCAUUUUGUUCAUUAUUCGUCGAGCAGUUUGACAGGACGGAGUACGGAGUACUAUGGAGCAACGUGUACCAGAAAAAAAGGCCAGUGUUACGUAUGUCUUAUGUAUGUCUCUCCCGAGCUGUAACUCGAACACACGAACACUGGCUCGUUAGGCCAGUAUCGUACCUCGAGAUCAGCUGGGAGAAGAGAACAAAAACAGGUCAAAGCAUAAACAAGAGAACAGGAGCAAUGCAAUUAGGAUAGAGAUGUCAGCUGGUUGGCUCGCACAGAAGCGAACUCUCGUAUGCAAUUCGGUUGUUAAGCUAUACCAGUUUUCAAAAAAUUGCUAUCGUCCUUCGGAUGUUAAAUCACAAAUUGGGUUACUUAGCUAUUCACGGAUUUUCGAUUUUGAUAUAUCAUCUGAAAGAGUGUAAUUUUCUUAGCAAAACGUGAUUUUUUAAAACAUUAUAUCAUUAUUCUUCGAUUUUUAAAUUAAGAAUAAAAAUUCGCUCUUAAUCGCUACAAUGACAGUUGGUAUAUGGGCGAACUGUUAUGUUGCGACUUCGAGCAGUUUUAAAUCGUGAUUUAAAAAGCAAGGAACAACGAUAGAAUUUUUUUUAAAUCACGUUUUUCUUAGAAAAUGCAGAUCUUUCAGAUGAUAUAAAAACUGAUAUAGUUAAACAACCCAAUUAAAACUACUCGAAAUCGCUACAAUGACAGUUCGUCCACAUACGUAAUACAUAAGUAACACUGGUGUUUUUUUCUGGUACACGUUGCUCCAUACUACGCCUUACUCCGACCUGUCAAACUGCUCGAUAGAUAAUGAACAAAAUGAAUUUUCUUUUUCUUUGCCUUGUCGAGCCCAAAAGAAAACUUCAUAAGGAACUGUCAAAAAGUUAUUUACAAAAUCAAUGCAGAGUUUUUCAAGUAGGAACGAGACAAAUGCAGGGCUGCGCAGGUACACUGCCUUCAAAAACAACUCAAACAGUGAUUUUACUCAGAGUGUCGUACCAUUCGAGUAGUUCAUUCUGUACCAACUUUUUUGGAAGAUUUCUUCCUGACUGUUACAUAUGUCUUAUGUAUGUGGUUCGUCCAUGUAUUAACUGUCAUUCAAGCGAUUCAGGGCGCGAUUUUAUUCUUCAUUUGAAAAUCGAAGGACAAUGAUAUGAAACACACAUAAAUUGACAAUUGCAUAUGAGCAAUAUAGCACGAAUUGCCUGAUAUCAGGAGAUAUGCGGUGUAAUGUGAACGGGGUAUAUAAAAGAUUUUAAAGGCUGUUCGCAUCUACGCGAACUCUUAUAAGUAAUCGACAAAAUGUGCGUGAUGACUUGGUGAUGACAGAAGCAAAAAUAUAUUUUUCCUUCUUUUGAACAUAUAUCCAGCUUUUUACGUGCUAUAAUGGCGGACGUUAUAAUGCAAAGUUCGUUAUAAGUAACCGAUCCUUUUGACAACUCUACUUACGUCAGUUUGCAGUCUUCAUAUAUUUUAUCAAAAGAAAAUACAUCUGGCAACAUUUGUGUUGCCAAUUUUUCAGAAAUACUCAAUCUGACGUAAGUAGAGAGGUUCGUAUAUUACGAACACGAAUUAUAGCGACCGCCAUUAUGGUGCGUAAAAAGCUGGAUACACCAAUAUCGUGUAAUAUUAUCGAAAUAUUUUUGAUGAACUCAAGCGAACCCAAGUAAGAAUUUGACCCAGUAUUGACCUGGCGUGCUGCCCAAAGCGCACCGUAAAAUUUUCCACCACCGCAUGUGCUUAGUUCGUAAAUAAUUUCCGGCAUCUUUUUCUUAUUUGCGUUGUAUUACUAGGCAGAUUUGCCCUGACGCAGUAGAAUAAAUAAAUUUGCUAUAUGUUAAAACUUAUAACACAUUCCCCUAAUGCAAUAAUUCGAGACUACGAAGCUAGAAGAGAUUUUGAAGGCUGUUCGCAUCCACGCGAACUCUCAUAUGCGAUUGUCAAAAUGUGUGUAAUGACAAAAGUAAAAAUAUAAAACCAAAGUGCACAGGAAUGGUUGAAAAGCUAUAAUCUUUCCUUUUUAUCAGAUUUGAUAUAAUUUGUUUUUUCAAAUUUUAUGACUGUGUAUCACAUUAUAGCUUCAAGAUGUUUUAAUUACUUAAGUCACAAAGACCAGACUAAAGGCCCAAAUACACACACGGCGUGACAACGCCUUCCUGACGAAAAUUGUCAGUACCUUCUAGAAACCUUCUAAUGUGCCUUCUAGCAUCUACCACCUUCCACUCGUCUGCGAGGAAGGCACAAUCGCGCCAUCUUGAGCUACGCCGCGUGCAAACCUUCUUGUUGUCAUGCCUUCUAAAAUUUGUUUGUCGUCUACACGGAAGGCGGUAGUCGUAAUGAGAAGAAGGUGUGCAGUAGGCGCGAUCGGAAAACUGUCACAUUUUUCGCAAACUGCUGGUUCAUUGGAUAUUUCCAUUGAACUGAAGCAAGUUAGAUGGAUUUGACAUAUAAUGUAGGUUGUCAUUCUACUAGUUUAAUGGAUUUCAAAUCCAUCCAACUAGUACUAGUUCAAUGGAAAUAUACAAUGAACUAUAGUUUUACAACCUACAUUAAAUGUCAAAUCCAUCCGCCAUUAUCACUCGUGGAAAGCUGGAUAUUGUGAAAUGAAGUUUGUGAAUGUGGAUUCCUGCUGCUUGGAUUCAGGCGAAGCGCUUGGGAACUAUGGCGAUGCGUCAGUUUAUACUGCACAUUUGCCCAAAAACAUCAAGCAAAUAGAAGCAGCAGCAACCUCUCGGAAAUCGGUAGGCAAGCGCACCCAUUUUAACCGGGAUAAUUGGAACGACUAGUUGGUGGCAGCGCUAAUAGCACAGGUGGAGUUGCAUCCAGCCAUUUGGGAUGUGAAUUCACCCAGCUUCCGAAAUAAAAACUUAAAAGAUUCGGCGUGGGUAAAGGUCCGCACCGCUGGCAACAUGAUGAGCAUCGGUGAUGCCGAAUGUCGUCGCAAGUGGCAGCACUUGUGUAAUAACAACAACAAAUUAGCGAAUUCAUACUACAAUGCCAACUCAGGAGAAUCGGCAAGAGGAACACCGAAUUGGGUGCACUGGACUGCCAUGGAGUUCGUCCGCCAGAAUAGGGCAUCGUAUAGGACGAGCACAGAAUUGAAUUUGCUUCCGACAGUCAAAGUUUGCUGGAGGUGAAACAGCCCAACAACGAAAACGCGCCAAAAGCGUGAACCGGCCAGCGAGAACAGUUGAGUCAACGUCAAUGUCAACGGCUACGGGCGAAGCACUGGAGAGGCUCGACGUAAUCAUGGAAACGAUUGGAGCAGGAAAAACUAAUCCGCACUUGGCUGCAUCGAAAGAAUGGGCAGUAGUGCUAAACCAAAUGUCUCCAAUGUAUGCGGCGCGUGCGAAGUCAGAGAUCAAGACGAUGUUGUCGAAAUACUGGUCACUUUCGGUCGCAGCAGAGGAAGAGGCAGCAGAGAACCAGUAUCGAUCGGAAUUGGCGAAAACAAACAAAUGCAUCGUGAAAGAUUUCAUUGAUCAAGGCGUGAGCAACCCUUGUUUGUUUUGGGCGACGAUUUGGAAAAUUCGAUCUCAGCCGUCACACCAAGAUCGUCGUGUUCAAUGCCAACGGCGAGUUGCUGUCUGAUCCACCUCUCAUUGUAAAAGCGAAAGUCGCAGUAGGAUUGUGCAAAUCUGAUACAGAGCAACCGGAAGACAGACUCACCUUACAAUUGUAAUAGUUUCGUAACAUACUCACACAUACACGCACACACACGCAGACACACACACACACGCAGACACACACACAAACACACAAAUUAUGUAUAAUAAAACACAAGGAAAAUACAUCAAUACUGCCAUAUUUUAAUA